Trachemys scripta elegans is the source of this 1855-nucleotide long non-coding RNA. RefSeq lists it as uncharacterized. The record is from RefSeq and is a predicted model, not a curated record. NCBI's taxonomy places the organism in Eukaryota, Metazoa, Chordata, Testudines, Emydidae. The transcript has 4 exons.
CUGUGAUGGGCGAGUGGCUGCCCCUCACUGGCAGAAAAGGGGUUAAAAGCAGCCCUAGAGAGGCUGUGCCGGAGGUAGCCAAUUAGAAAGGGGCUGAGAGGAGUAGCCAAUUAUGGCCCAGCAGGCCCAUAUAAGAAGGGCUGCAGGCAGAGCAGAGUUCAGUAGCUGACUGGAACUUGAGGGGGAGAAGAGCAAGCUCCUGGCAGGGUGAAGAAGCCCAGCACCUGGGGUAAUUCAGUGCUGCAAGCAGGGACUGGGGAGCUAGAGAGAGCCCCUGGCUGGUUGUUAGGGCCUGCAGGCUAAGGCCCUGAGGUGAGCAGCAUGUAUGAGGCACCUAAGGAAGUAUAUACUGAAGAAUGCCUAUGAGGAGGUAAGGAAAAGCGGUGAGGAUUAGCUGAAAUACCAUUCUGCUGGCACUCUUCUGAAAGGUUAUAUGAAUAGAGGUGGAUGGAGCAUCCUGCACAUUUUACAAAACAACUGGAACAGAACCCCCUGCUGUUGCACAACAGGAGCAACCUCCUCUCCCUUGAGAUCACCUUCCUACUGCCAGAUGGGAACUGAGAGUAAAGAUAUUCCAGCUGCAACUUACCUCUGCCCCUGUUGUAUGACAGGAAGGUGUUUUCUUCUAAGACUGAACAAGAAAUUCCACAGUAAGAUUUAAAGAAACAGCACAUAUUGAAGUCAUUGAAAUGACAUCAGUGCAAAACUGGAGUAACACAGUAAUGAAUCAGGCCCAAGAGGGUGGUCAGAAUCAAAAACUGACUUUUGCAGCGUGAUCCUUGUCUGGAAAAUGGUCUGAAUCAAACCCCCAGAUCUGAACCCCCGACUUAGACUGUAAGCAACUUGGGGUGAAGACAGUCUUUUGGUUCUGUAUUUGUACAGUGCCUGGCACAAUGGGGUGCUGGUUCAUGACCUGGACUCCUAGGUGCUAUGGUAUGACAAAUAACUUUUAAUAGUUUGAAAUCCUGAUCUAAAUGUUGUGGCUUGUGCCUCAGAUAUUAAUUGUAUAAUAAUGAAGUUUAAAAAAUUAUGCACAUGUGAAGAUGAAGAUGUAGUCAGUUUAUGGAUAAAUUUCUAUGGUUUCAGUCCAUGUGGGUUCUCUAACCCUGAAUUUUGCUUUCUGUUUUGCAUUAAAUGAAACCAGAAUAUCAAAGUGAAACUGAGUCAAAAUCACUGAGUUUCUCAAAGCCAGUGAAACAAAAAUUUUGCAUGGUUUUCAACACAAUACCAUCAAUUGGCCCUGCUUUAUUAGAAACUGGCCCCACGUCUGCAAACCUUUAAGUAAUCAGAACUCAUUUCUGAGUUUGUUACAAAACCUGAAACCAGAUGUGUUUUGUGUCAUCUAGGGUUUUGAAACAUUUUGCUUGCUGUACUUUUAUAGCACAAAUGUUUUCCUCUCCACAUUGGGCAAUACCCACAAAACAAAAUCUCACCAUAAUAACAACAACAACCCUAUUGUGCUUUAUGAAGACAAGCUCAUCAAGACACCAACGACAGCAGUCUUCCAAAUGUUUGUUCCAUAGAUUUCUAGUCUCAGUGGAAAUUUUGCAUGGGUCCAGCAUUCUCUCACACACCCAUGAGAACUCAGGUAUCAUUAAAUAUCUGUGGUGUGGAAAGUGAUGGGAAAUUAUUUUCCCUAAUAAAUAAAUCUGUUGUGUAUGUAUUUUUAAUUAUAUUAAUGAUUUCUCUUUCUAUAGAAAAUAUAAGUUGCAAUAAAGUAACUCAUUUUUAUAAACUAAUGUACAAAAUGCAUGCAUGUGCAUAUGACUGAUUAAUCGCCUACCUGUCCAUUUACACAAUGUUCCUGUACAACUCUGCAUGCCAAUUAGAAUGUAGUUGUGUACAUGUAUUUUAA